GGGACACGUGGUAUCCUGUCUGAAUAUGGGGGGACCAUCCUCCAAGGCUAAAUACUCCUGACUGACCGAUAGUGAACCAGUACCGUGAGGGAAAGGCGAAAAGAACCCCGGCGAGGGGAGUGAAAAAGAACCUGAAACCGUGUACGUACAAGCAGUGGGAGCACGCUUAGGCGUGUGACUGCGUACCUUUUGUAUAAUGGGUCAGCGACUUAUAUUCUGUAGCAAGGUUAACCGAAUAGGGGAGCCGAAGGGAAACCGAGUCUUAACUGGGCGUUAAGUUGCAGGGUAUAGACCCGAAACCCGGUGAUCUAGCCAUGGGCAGGUUGAAGGUUGGGUAACACUAACUGGAGGACCGAACCGACUAAUGUUGAAAAAUUAGCGGAUGACUUGUGGCUGGGGGUGAAAGGCCAAUCAAACCGGGAGAUAGCUGGUUCUCCCCGAAAGCUAUUUAGGUAGCGCCUCGUGAAUUCAUCUCCGGGGGUAGAGCACUGUUUCGGCAAGGGGGUCAUCCCGACUUACCAACCCGAUGCAAACUGCGAAUACCGGAGAAUGUUAUCACGGGAGACACACGGCGGGUGCUAACGUCCGUCGUGAAGAGGGAAACAACCCAGACCGCCAGCUAAGGUCCCAAAGUCAUGGUUAAGUGGGAAACGAUGUGGGAAGGCCCAGACAGCCAGGAUGUUGGCUUAGAAGCAGCCAUCAUUUAAAGAAAGCGUAAUAGCUCACUGGUCGAGUCGGCCUGCGCGGAAGAUGUAACGGGGCUAAACCAUGCACCGAAGCUGCGGCAGCGACACUAUGUGUUGUUGGGUAGGGGAGCGUUCUGUAAGCCUGUGAAGGUGUGCUGUGAGGCAUGCUGGAGGUAUCAGAAGUGCGAAUGCUGACAUAAGUAACGAUAAAGCGGGUGAAAAGCCCGCUCGCCGGAAGACCAAGGGUUCCUGUCCAACGUUAAUCGGGGCAGGGUGAGUCGACCCCUAAGGCGAGGCCGAAAGGCGUAGUCGAUGGGAAACAGGUUAAUAUUCCUGUACUUGGUGUUACUGCGAAGGGGGGACGGAGAAGGCUAUGUUGGCCGGGCGACGGUUGUCCCGGUUUAAGCGUGUAGGCUGGUUUUCCAGGCAAAUCCGGAAAAUCAAGGCUGAGGCGUGAUGACGAGGCACUACGGUGCUGAAGCAACAAAUGCCCUGCUUCCAGGAAAAGCCUCUAAGCAUCAGGUAACAUCAAAUCGUACCCCAAACCGACACAGGUGGUCAGGUAGAGAAUACCAAGGCGCUUGAGAGAACUCGGGUGAAGGAACUAGGCAAAAUGGUGCCGUAACUUCGGGAGAAGGCACGCUGAUAUGUAGGUGAAGUCCCUCGCGGAUGGAGCUGAAAUCAGUCGAAGAUACCAGCUGGCUGCAACUGUUUAUUAAAAACACAGCACUGUGCAAACACGAAAGUGGACGUAUACGGUGUGACGCCUGCCCGGUGCCGGAAGGUUAAUUGAUGGGGUUAGCCGCAAGGCGAAGCUCUUGAUCGAAGCCCCGGUAAACGGCGGCCGUAACUAUAACGGUCCUAAGGUAGCGAAAUUCCUUGUCGGGUAAGUUCCGACCUGCACGAAUGGCGUAAUGAUGGCCAGGCUGUCUCCACCCGAGACUCAGUGAAAUUGAACUCGCUGUGAAGAUGCAGUGUACCCGCGGCAAGACGGAAAGACCCCGUGAACCUUUACUAUAGCUUGACACUGAACAUUGAGCCUUGAUGUGUAGGAUAGGUGGGAGGCUUAGAAGUGUGGACGCCAGUCUGCAUGGAGCCGACCUUGAAAUACCACCCUUUAAUGUUUGAUGUUCUAACGUUGACCCGUAAUCCGGGUUGCGGACAGUGUCUGGUGGGUAGUUUGACUGGGGCGGUCUCCUCCUAAAGAGUAACGGAGGAGCACGAAGGUUGGCUAAUCCUGGUCGGACAUCAGGAGGUUAGUGCAAUGGCAUAAGCCAGCUUGACUGCGAGCGUGACGGCGCGAGCAGGUGCGAAAGCAGGUCAUAGUGAUCCGGUGGUUCUGAAUGGAAGGGCCAUCGCUCAACGGAUAAAAGGUACUCCGGGGAUAACAGGCUGAUACCGCCCAAGAGUUCAUAUCGACGGCGGUGUUUGGCACCUCGAUGUCGGCUCAUCACAUCCUGGGGCUGAAGUAGGUCCCAAGGGUAUGGCUGUUCGCCAUUUAAAGUGGUACGCGAGCUGGGUUUAGAACGUCGUGAGACAGUUCGGUCCCUAUCUGCCGUGGGCGCUGGAGAACUGAGGGGGGCUGCUCCUAGUACGAGAGGACCGGAGUGGACGCAUCACUGGUGUUCGGGUUGUCAUGCCAAUGGCACUGCCCGGUAGCUAAAUGCGGAAGAGAUAAGUGCUGAAAGCAUCUAAGCACGAAACUUGCCCCGAGAUGAGUUCUCCCUGACUCCUUGAGAGUCCUGA
RNAcentral lists this ribosomal RNA (2432 nucleotides) under Escherichia coli. Its description in RNAcentral is "partial 23S ribosomal RNA". It matches the Rfam family "Bacterial large subunit ribosomal RNA", at positions 419 to 2831 of the family's 2925-position model. The record is from RNAcentral. Lineage: Bacteria; Pseudomonadati; Pseudomonadota; Gammaproteobacteria; Enterobacterales; Enterobacteriaceae.